This 118-nucleotide ribosomal RNA is filed under the name Gossypium hirsutum (cotton). Lineage: Eukaryota; Viridiplantae; Streptophyta; Magnoliopsida; Malvales; Malvaceae. The record is from RNAcentral.
GGGUGCGAUCAUAACAGCACAAAUGCACCGGAUCUCAUUAGAACUCCGUAAUUUAGCGUGCUUGGGCGAGAUUAGUACUAGAUGGGCGACCUCUUUGGAAGUCCUCAUGUUGCACCCU